AGAACGAUCAGUGUACAGUCAUGGGGAGAAGUUGCUCUAUCAAAGGAAAGAGGGUAAGAGGGAAGGCAACACUCCAGCUGCAGCUGGAAUUCAGAAAGGAACAGAAGGGUGGACUGAGUGACUGCAUGAAAAACAAUCUCUGUGCAUAUUGCAAGGACUGCUCUGGAAAUAAUGCCUCAUAAUUCACCACAUUGACCCACGACAUCAGAGUUGGAUGUUGGCAGGGUGGCAAUAGACACUGAGCCUUCCCACCAAUAUUUCAUUAAACUUUGUUGCUGUGUGACAGAUUGCUGCAGAGGGGCAGUCUGACAAAAUGGAGCCUGACAUAGAAGUGCAGAUGAGGCAAAUGGGUGUCAUUGAGUUCUUCCACUUGGAAAAAAAAUGGCAUUCACUGACUUUCAUUUACACUUGCUAAAUAUUUAUGGAGACCAAACUGUGGAUUGACAAUGUUCAUGUCCUCUCAGGAGUGAAGCGAAGAACCUGGUCCUGAACAGAAUAAACUGAGCUAAUAUAUCCGUGUGAAUGAGGUGUCCUCUCUCCUUUGAAACAACCUUGUUCAUCCUGAUAACUAACACCUUUGUAGGCUUAAAUCUUCUACAGAUCUGAUGGCAGGCAUUUGAUCACAUUUCAGGAACAAUUUGUAAUAAGUAUUAAAGAGCUGUUCCAAUUUGCUUUUAAGUAAGUCAUGGAGACUAAUGAGUUCUGUGGGCCUGGGAUCCCAAUAAAGAAUGGAAUUUCAGAAUGAAAAACACAGCAAGAAAGUAAAUGCUGACUACCAGACAGGCUGAAUGUCGUCUGGAUGCCAGGGUUACUGCGAAGAGGAGUUAUUCUGAGAUCUACCAUGGUAUAUGAAACACAGAUCGUCUAGAAGAACUUAAUGACUUUACAUUGUCUCAGCUGAUGUGGACUGAUUAUAUAGUGAAAUAGAAGGAAAAAGACUUUCUGACAUUUGUUUUUCCAAACCUGGUGCUGCUUUUUCCCUUAGUGAAAAUUUGCAUGAUUUCUCAGAGCCUGCUUCUUUCUCACAAUAAACAAUGCAAAGCCCUCUUGCCAAAAAAAUGUCCAAAUGCUAAGCAGUUGCUAUUAUAGUCAUUAUUAUAAUAGCAACUUCGAGCUAUGUGCUUUUAAAUUAUAUUAUUUUUACAAAAGAUUUUUAUGUGUCUUGAUUGCAGUAAUUAUGGUUCUAUAGUAAUAAAUGUGUAUUUAAACAGUCAUGUUAUCUUAUUGCUCCAAAUAAACAAGUUCCCUCAACUGAACUUCG
Molecule: long non-coding RNA, 1261 nt
Organism: Gallus gallus (chicken)
Lineage: Eukaryota; Metazoa; Chordata; Aves; Galliformes; Phasianidae
Source: Ensembl